AUUCCAGCUCCAAUAGCGUAUAUUAAAGUUGUUGCGGUAAAAAAGCUCGUAGUUGGAUUUCUGUUGAGAACGACCGGUCCACACAACGUGUGCGCAUCUGGUUCGGUCUCGGCAUCCUCUCGAAAGACGACUCUGCGCUUGAUUGCGUGGAUCGGAUUCCGGGACUUUUACUUUGAGGAAAUUAGAGUGUUCACGGCAGGCUAUCGCCAGGAUACAUUAGCAUGGAAUAAUACUAUAGGAUCUUGAUCCUAUUUUGUUGGUUUCUAGGAGCAAGAUAAUGAUUAAUAGGGACAAUUGGGGGCAUUCGUAUCAACACGUCAGAGGUGGAAUUCUUGGAUUGUGUUGCGACGAACUACUGCGAAAGCAUUUGCCAAGGAUGUUUUCAUCG
This 388-nucleotide ribosomal RNA is filed under the name Syndiniales sp. RNAcentral describes it as "partial small subunit ribosomal RNA". It matches the Rfam family "Eukaryotic small subunit ribosomal RNA", at positions 582 to 975 of the family's 1831-position model. The record is from RNAcentral. Lineage: Eukaryota; Dinophyceae; Syndiniales.